Molecule: long non-coding RNA, 223 nt
Filed under: Nicotiana benthamiana
Lineage: Eukaryota; Viridiplantae; Streptophyta; Magnoliopsida; Solanales; Solanaceae
Description: long non-coding RNA (NBEN_LNC027888)
Source: RNAcentral
CCGGUGAAAAAAUCUGAAAGUAUGCUUUGAUGCGCCCAAGUUUUCCUGAAGCUUAGCAGAACGUGUAGUUCUAUCGCGUCCUGCUGCGAGUCUGAACGGGAGUCACCGGGAGUACUGUGUCUUGCCGAAAAUCCUCGCCGGUAAAAUAGGCACCUUUUUAGGUGCAGUGACUUGGGACGUCUUUAACGGAUAAUCGAAUCUCCGACCUCGGAUCAACUAACUU